RNAcentral lists this ribosomal RNA (292 nucleotides) under uncultured bacterium. RNAcentral describes it as "partial 16S ribosomal RNA". It matches the Rfam family "Bacterial small subunit ribosomal RNA", at positions 505 to 796 of the family's 1533-position model. The record is from RNAcentral.
GUGUCAGCCGCCGCGGUAAUACGUGGGGUGCAAACGUUGCUCGGAAUUAUUGGGCGUAAAGCGCACGUAGGCGGCGCGGCAAGUUGGAUGUGAAAGCCCUCGGCUUAACCGAGGAAGUGCAUUCAAAACUACCGUGCUUGAGUACGAAAGAGGGUCGCGGAAUUCCCGGUGUAGAGGUGAAAUUCGUAGAUAUCGGGAGGAACACCAGUGGCGAAGGCGGCGACCUGGGUCGAUACUGACGCUGAUGUGCGAAAGCGUGGGGAGCAAACAGGAUUAGAAACCCCCGUAGUCC